UUCUCGUUUAACAACAAGGGUUGUUUGCUGACCUGGCGCAGUUCUGGAGACUCACAUGCAGAGCAGAUGCUGAUGUGGUGUUCUGAUGUCUUAGAUGGCAUUAAGCACUCACCCAUGCAAAGCAGCGCUCCCAACCAGGGCAUCGGAGGAGACAGCCCAGCAAAACUGCAGGUGGAGCAGAACUCACUGCCACUCUUUUCCGUAUGUUCCUCCCUACGGGGGCCUGACUGGACCUCGACCUGAGGAGGGAACCGAAUGGAAACUUAAUGGAGAGGCGAGUCCCGCCCCAAGAAAAGUCCAUGGCUGUGCAUAUAAUAAACCCAUGAAAGUUGGGACACCAAAGCAAUGGAAAGCAUUGACAAUGAAUGCAUCCCUCUUUCAGCUGGUGAUGGAUUUUCUGUAGAUCGUAUCAGCAGACAGAGCAGAAAUGAGAUGCAGUGUCUUCCUUCCCUGGAAGAGAGCUGCGGUUUCUGAAUUCUGUGCCUGGAAUUUUUGACUCUUUUUUGCUUGCUUUGCUAGUCUGGUGAUGCUAUCAACUUCAUGAGAGCUUUUGUUUAGAGUGUUUUCUUUUUUCUCUCUCUCUCUCUCUCUUUUUUUUCU
Molecule: long non-coding RNA, 600 nt
Filed under: Apteryx owenii (little spotted kiwi)
Lineage: Eukaryota; Metazoa; Chordata; Aves; Apterygiformes; Apterygidae
Description: lncRNA (ENSAOWG00000014086.1)
Source: RNAcentral